The sequence is a regulatory RNA element, 116 nucleotides long. It matches the Rfam family "Ribosomal S15 leader". Rfam says of the family: The E. coli Ribosomal S15 gene 5' UTR can form two alternative structures. One that is a series of three hairpins, The other includes a pseudoknot. This structure causes translational regulation of the S15 protein. The record is from Rfam.
GUGAGUCGCUGAAUUAGAGAUCGGCUGCUCGAAUUCAUUUAAAUUUAUUGGAGUAUAUUAUGUCUCUAAGCGUAGAAGCUAAAGCUGAGAUCGUUGCUAAAUAUGGUCGUGAUGCU